RNAcentral lists this non-coding RNA (63 nucleotides) under Polarella glacialis. Lineage: Eukaryota; Dinophyceae; Suessiales; Suessiaceae. The record is from RNAcentral.
CUCCCAGAGUCGAGUACCUGUAUAAAAUAUGGCUCCUCGCGGCCGUAGAAGCCUCCUGUCGGU